RNAcentral lists this transfer RNA (73 nucleotides) under Myxococcales bacterium. Its description in RNAcentral is "tRNA-Leu". It matches the Rfam family "tRNA". Rfam says of the family: Transfer RNA (tRNA) molecules are approximately 80 nucleotides in length. Their secondary structure includes four short double-helical elements and three loops (D, anti-codon, and T loops). The record is from RNAcentral. Lineage: Bacteria; Pseudomonadati; Myxococcota; Myxococcia; Myxococcales.
GCCCGCGUAGCCCAACGGUAGAGGCAGGGGAUUUAAAAUCCUCCGAGUGCGGGUUCGAGUCCCGCCGCGGGCA